This is a long non-coding RNA of Numida meleagris (helmeted guineafowl), 710 nucleotides long. RefSeq lists it as uncharacterized. The record is from RefSeq and is a predicted model, not a curated record. Lineage: Eukaryota; Metazoa; Chordata; Aves; Galliformes; Numididae. The transcript has 2 exons.
CUUAGGAAACGUCCAUAAACAUGAAGGAGAAGGCAUUGUCAGGCAGGGACUUUUCACUUCCUCCAAUUCAGGCUGCUCUGUUUUGUUCUGAACAGUGAGUUCUUCCAUGAGAGUCAUCUGGAAUCCAGACAUGCAGUGACUUAAGUGACAAUCCAAACCACCAGAAUCCAGAUGUCUUCUCUAUGAUCAAACACAGCUCCUUCCAGAGAGAAAGGGAAAAUAUCGCAAAACAUCUAGAUGCCGUCGAAGGAUUUUCAUCUAAUAAAAAAAAUGUAAAAUUGAAUUUGUAUUUUGCAUAUGCACACUGACUGCUCUACUCAUAGCCUGUGUAACCUCCCACAAUUAGAAUGUGAUAGGGCUCUUAUGUUGAGGCUAUUUAAUUCUUUCCAAGUGGGUAUACUACAUUCCAGUUAAAUUGUGUCUCUAAUGUACAGAGAAAAAAAAAAAAAUCAAAGACCUGGUAUCCUGGUGGUAGUAACAUGCUAUGCUUAAGUUUUCAGCUUUAAUUUUCACUGGAAGUUUCUGGGUAUUGUAAACCAUACACAAUCCUGUAUUAAAUUGUCUUGGUAGGCCUCACAACAGAGGUUACUUGCAAUAUUGUAUGUCCAACUGUGCUUUCACAUUACAUCUAUGUUCCAAAAACCAGAAAUCAGUUCAAAAUGAGUUUGUGACUUUCAGUGCAAAAUAAUAAACUCUUUUUACACAACUGA